UGUCGGAAAAUUUUUGACAGUAAUAGUACAUUACGCCCUUGUUUGGAGAUUUGUAUUUUGCCGAGAUGGAGGUUUGUAGCCAGAGCCAA
Bradysia coprophila is the source of this 89-nucleotide long non-coding RNA. Lineage: Eukaryota; Metazoa; Arthropoda; Insecta; Diptera; Sciaridae. The record is from RefSeq and is a predicted model, not a curated record.